Molecule: ribosomal RNA, 406 nt
Filed under: uncultured bacterium
Lineage: Bacteria
Description: partial 16S ribosomal RNA
Rfam family: Bacterial small subunit ribosomal RNA
Source: RNAcentral
AUUGAACGCUGGCGGCAGGCCUAACACAUGCAAGUCGAGCGAGCGGCGGACGGGUGAGUAAUGUCUGGGAAACUGCCUGAUGGAGGGGGAUAACUACUGGAAACGGUAGCUAAUACCGCAUACCAUCAGAUGUGCCCAGAUGGGAUUAGCUCGUAGGUAGGGUAACGGCUCACCUAGGCGACGAUCCCUAGCUGGUCUGAGCGGAUGACCAGCCACACUGGAACUGAGACACGGUCCCGACUCCUACGGGAGGCAGGAGUGGGGAAUAUUGCACAAUGGGAGCAAGCCUGAUGUAGCUAUGCCGCUUGUGUGAAGCAGGCCUUCGGGUUGUAAAGCACGUUCAGCGGGGAGGCGUUACCCGCAGAAGAAGCACCGGCUAACUCCGUGCCAGCAGCCGCGGUAAUAC